AACGCACAUUGCGCCCGCCAGUAUUCUGGCGGGCAUGCCUGUUCGAGCGUCAUUACAACCCUUAAGCCCCAGCUGCUUAGCGUUGGGGGCUCGCCGUCACUGGCGACCCCUUGAAUAUAUCGGCGGAGUCGAGUCGAACUCUAAGCGUAGUAAACUUACAUCUCGCUUCUGAGGGCCCCUCGUCGACAGCCACUAAACCGAUUAACUUCACAAGGUUUGACCUCGGAUCAGGUAGGAAUACCCGCUGAACUUAA
Molecule: unclassified non-coding RNA, 254 nt
Filed under: uncultured fungus
Lineage: Eukaryota; Fungi
Description: partial contains 5.8S ribosomal RNA, internal transcribed spacer 2, and large subunit ribosomal RNA
Rfam family: 5.8S ribosomal RNA (bases 1-52)
Source: RNAcentral